RNAcentral lists this ribosomal RNA (429 nucleotides) under uncultured bacterium. RNAcentral describes it as "bacterial SSU rRNA". It matches the Rfam family "Bacterial small subunit ribosomal RNA", at positions 917 to 1350 of the family's 1533-position model. The record is from RNAcentral.
GGACCCGCACAAGCGGUGGAUGAUGUGGUUUAAUUCGAUGCAACGCGAAAAACCUUACCCACCUUUGACAUGUACGGAAUCCUUUAGAGAUAGAGGAGUGCUCGAAAGAGAGCCGUAACACAGGUGCUGCAUGGCUGUCGUCAGCUCGUGUCGUGAGAUGUUGGGUUAAGUCCCGCAACGAGCGCAACCCUUGCCAUUAGUUGCUACGAAAGGGCACUCUAAUGGGACUGCCGGUGACAAACCGGAGGAAGGUGGGGAUGACGUCAAGUCCUCAUGGCCCUUAUAGGUGGGGCUACACACGUCAUACAAUGGCUGGUACAAAGGGUUGCCAACCCGCGAGGGGGAGCUAAUCCCAUAAAGCCAGUCGUAGUCCGGAUCGCAGUCUGCAACUCGACUGCGUGAAGUCGGAAUCGCUAGUAAUCGUGGAUC